GCCGCCGUAGCUCAAUUGGAAGAGCGCCCGCCUGUUAAGCGGAUGGUUCCAGGUUCGAGUCCUGGCGGCGGCG
Molecule: non-coding RNA, 73 nt
Organism: Thermoplasmatales archaeon
Lineage: Archaea; Methanobacteriati; Thermoplasmatota; Thermoplasmata; Thermoplasmatales
Source: Rfam